UGUGGUACUACCUAAGGUUCUUAGAGGAA
Molecule: non-coding RNA, 29 nt
Filed under: Homo sapiens (human)
Lineage: Eukaryota; Metazoa; Chordata; Mammalia; Primates; Hominidae
Source: RNAcentral